Molecule: long non-coding RNA, 712 nt
Organism: Ostrea edulis (European flat oyster)
Lineage: Eukaryota; Metazoa; Mollusca; Bivalvia; Ostreida; Ostreidae
Exons: 3
Source: RefSeq, a predicted model, not a curated record
GUUGUUUACCAACACUUCGUGUAUUACUGUAUUAGUUUGGAAUGUAUGGGGGUAUUGGUCAAAUUCAACGGAAAACUUAGACAAGACGACGAUGUUGCAGUGCAGUGUAACUUGCAGAUCUAUGCAAGAGGUCUAGCUGUCUAGGAACCCUAGGCUCUAUCUGCUUAGUACAGUAGUAGCCAUAGUGGGACAUGAAAAGAACGUAUUAGACUCGGCGAAACCUACCAAAUAGGACAGUGAUAUCAUCUGUGAAUGACUGACCAUGCUGAUUAUGUCAAAGCUGUGGAAUAUUUCUAUAUGAUCAUCGUACUCAUCAAAGACAGAACAGAAUGCAAUAUAUGCGACCAAAAAUGACCAAGACAAAAGAAAAAUGUUAUAUAGGGAUUUAGGAAGUGGAUCAUCCAUUUUCCUUGCCUUUCCCUCGAGGUCUUCAGACAGUGUCUCUAUACAUCAUUAACCAUGUUGAUUAGCUCUCAUGAUGUCAUGCCAUUACUGCAAGGGUACCUAUAAUACUGCCAGACUACCUACAAUGAUACCAAAAUAUCAGAAUUAAAAUUUCAAAUACACAAAAUGUGAAGCAGCAAAAGAAAAGAAUUGCAGAUGUAUAAUACACAAAAGGAUAUUGAUUCUUACUGGGCUGAAAUGAAUUAAUAGUUCAACUUUCAUUCAACUGUUUUACUGCAUACCAGUCAAUAAUUCCAGUCAACAUAAG